UUUUCAAUAUUUCAUUUUCGCAGUUGUGCAGGAUCAGCCACAUCUGACACUCCCAGUAUACCACUCCCACGAUUCCCACACUACCAAUGCCAGAGCUCAAGUCGCUGGAGUUGCUCACCAACUUGGCACACGGCAGACCACUCGGCGUCUCGGCCCUCGCCCAGUCGCUCACCAGCCACGCAGACGACAGACCACUCGGCGUCUCGACCCUCGCCCAGCCAUUCAGCCCUUGCCCAAUCACUCUUUCUUCUCUUUCUUCACCACUACUACUGUUUAAGUUUUGAACUCUCUCUCUCUUGUCUCUCUAAAGAUGAAAUCAAACGCAGAGAUUUCUGAGAAUCAAUUCAUGGGAAGCAUUUCGGCCUCUUCAUUACGUAAUCUCCUUCCCAAAAAGUAUAAGAGUAAAUCAAACUCAGUACGUGCACAAUCGAUAUCCGACAUCGAAAACACUCCGUCGAUCAAUCCGAACAUUGCAGAUGCGAACAUCGACGUUUCCACUUCAAUUUCGAAAAAAUUGUCACCUAAAAUGUUGAAUUCUGUCAAUGAGACAACGAGAUUGGAUGACCGGCUGGAGAUGUCGCCACCUACUGAUCCUCCAGUCAACUGUUAUUGAUAGGUUAUGGUGAGGAUUAGACUGCAAAUGAUCAUGAGAUCGAGGGAGGUUGGAUUGUGAGGAAGGCUUGUUCUGAUUAGAGAGAUUCGCAUUCAAGUGAUUUUGAAAUUGUUUGAGG
Molecule: long non-coding RNA, 731 nt
Organism: Malania oleifera
Lineage: Eukaryota; Viridiplantae; Streptophyta; Magnoliopsida; Santalales; Ximeniaceae
Exons: 2
Source: RefSeq, a predicted model, not a curated record